Molecule: long non-coding RNA, 3810 nt
Filed under: Homo sapiens (human)
Lineage: Eukaryota; Metazoa; Chordata; Mammalia; Primates; Hominidae
Description: EIF2B5 divergent transcript, transcript variant 4 (EIF2B5-DT)
Source: RNAcentral
AGUGCGCAUGCGUCUUCCCCGGGAGCCCACAGGGGUCUGAGGUUGAUCCCGGAGGCGCGAGGAGUCGGUACGGGUCACGGUUGUCCCGGCCCCUGAGGCGCAGGGUAGGAGUGGGGUCCCAUAGAUGUCAGACUCGGUCUGCAAGUAUCGUCGGCCUUCAUUUGUAGGUGAACAAGCCGAGAUUCUUGUGGCGUGAUAGGACUUGUGGUCGCCACGAAGGGGCCAGCUCCAUCGGGAAUCUGUAAUCGCCCAGCAGUUUCCCCGCCCCGCGCAUGUGAAAUAUGUAGCCCUCCGUAUUCAUUCUAGAAACUUCUGGGAACCCAGCGCCUUGGGGAGAUAGAACCGAGCCAGAUGUUCCCCCGCUGCGAGGAACUCAGAACCUGCAUAAAUAGAGAAGGUGGCAGGCAUAUAGUAGGGAGACCAGUAAUUCCAUUGAGCGCUGAUUUUGGGCCAGGCACGAUACAAGCAUUAUCUCUGCAAAACAUCUUAUUCAUUCGUUCAGCAAACGUUUCUUGAACUCUCAGAAGGAUGAAGGAAGUUUACCCAGCUAGUAAGUGGAAGAACUGGUAUUGGAACCCGAUCUGUCUGACUGCAGAGUUCCACAAUCUUGCUGCCAAGUUAUGUGGGGAUAACAAUGACUAUUUUAUGUCAUCUAUUCAUUCUUCCAGCCUAUCAGCCUCCUGUGUCUUAAGCAGAGUGGAGACGGGGGUGGAUCCAGGCGCACCAGUUCCACGCCACAGGCUUCUGCAGUUCCUGCAAACUGUUCCCAUCCCGCCCCGCGUUGCACGUCGGGAUUUGGAGUUCGCGAUGCUGAGAGCUGUUUCCACGUGGCGAUUCCGACUUGACCCGUCGUGCUCCGGCGCCCGCCUAGGGGGACCGAGGAGUUUGUCAUUUCUUGCCUCGUUAGGGUGCGGAACGAAAACCAUUUGAUUUAUCCUAGAAAAGGAAAGGCUGAAGCCAACUAAGUAAAAGUUUUCCAUUAAAUGAAUGCACGUUGUAGAAAAGGAAUGUUCAACUGCCCUACAAAUCCAGAGGUAGAAAUGGGGGAGGGGAGAAGGAAUUAAAUAGGACACACACACACACACACAAACACACACACACACACACUCUUGGGGGGGUGUUUGGGUAUGGAAAGUAGGUCCGAUUGCAGAAUUUAUUUUAAAUGAUUCCCGCAACCUUGGGAAGUUGGGAAGUGGUGAAUCCGCUGCCGAAAGGCAUUUGUGCUUAUGGUAAAUCCAGGUCUUAAAAUUCUGUAGACUGGUAGCUAUAUGGAUAUGAUUUUAAUAGACGAGUUUCAGGAAGACUCUCUCAAACUGUUUUUUGUUGUUGUUGUUUAAAAACUUACUUGAAAUAUAUUGGAAACCACAUAUACAUAAUCUCUCACACACACUACAUAAAGAAGUAAAAAUUCCUUUCCCUACUUCUUUCAUCCUAUCCAAUUUGUAGAGUCAUAACCAUUCUUAAUAAUUUGAUGGGUAUUCAUUUCUUCCCUAAAUUUAUAUGUCUAGAACUAGAGCUAGAGUGUAUGCCUACAUACACACACACACACACCCAUACAUAUAUAUUCAAACAUAAUAUAUGUAUAUCCACAUGUAUUCAAACACAGAAUUAUGUUUAGAUAAUUAUGGUUAUAUGCUGGUAUGCCAGAGCCAGACUGCCUGGCUUCGGUUCCAGGCCCUAGUUGGAUAGCUUUGGGCUACUCAGCCUCUUUAUGCCUGGACUUCUUCAUCUUUGAAAUGGGAUAAUAAUAAUACUUAUCCCAUAAAGUUAUUGUGAGAAUUAAAUGAAAUAAUAUAUGAAAAGCCCUUAGAACAGGCAUUGACACAUUGUGAAGGUAAUGUAUUAGCUAUUUUGAUGAUUAUGCAUUUUGUCUGCAACUUGAUUUUUAUUUAACAUAUGUGGGAAAGUAGACAAACAUAGCCAUUUUCAAUGAUUCCAUAAUAUUCCAUAGCACGAGUAUACCAUUGUUUAUCGAACCAUUUCUCUCUUGAGAAACAUUGCAGAUUUUUUUUGCAGUUUCUACGAUUACAAAUAAUGCUGCAAUAAACAUCUUUCUACAUAUAGUCUUUAUAAAUUUGCGUUUAUUUCUUAGAAUUUAUUAUUGAAUUAGAGUAACUGGUUCAAAUUGGAUGCAAUUCCCAUGGCAGAAGGUACAUUGUUGAACUCACUGGCAAGCCUGAUGAGGCACUGGUGGAAUUCAUGGAGAUACUGCUUAAUUGCUCUCCCUGGACAAUGUGUCAUUUUGCACUUACACCAGCAAUGUAUGAGAGCGCCUGUUUCCCCAUAGCCUCACCAACAGAGUAUUUUGUCAAUAGUUUGGAGUUUCUGCCAAUCUGUAAAGGAAAAUAAGUGUAGUUUUAAUUUGCAUUUCUCUAUUUCAGUGAGGUUGAACAUUUUUUCAUAUAUUUGGUCAACUGCCAGUUCUGGUUCUUUUUCUUUUUUUUUUUCUUUUUGAGACAGAGUCUCACUCUGUCUCCCAGGCUGGAGUGUAGUGGCACGAUCUUGGCUCACUGCAACCUCUGCCUCCGAGGUUCAAGUGAUUUUCCUACCUAGGCCCCCCUGAAUAGCUGGGAUUACAGGCUCACACCACUACACCUGGCUGAUUUUUGUAUUUUUAAUAAAGGUGGGGUUUUGCCAUAUUGGCCAGGCUGGUCUCAAACUCCUGACUUCAGGUGAUCCACCUGCCUUGGCCUCUCAAAGUGCUGGGAUUACAGGUGUGAGCCACCGCACCCAGCCUCUUUUUCUUUUCUUUUCUUUCUUUCUUUUUGUUUAGAAACAGGGUUGUGCUCUGUUGCCCAGGCUGGAGUACAGUAGCACAAUCAUAGCUCACUGCAGCCUCAAACUCUUGGGCUCAAGCAGUCCUUCCUCAGCCUCCAGAGUAGCUGGGACAACAGGCACCUGCCACCACACCUAAGUUUUGUAGUUUUUGUAGAAAUGGGGUCUUUCUGUGUUGCUCAGGCUAGUUCUGGUUCUUUCUCUGAAUUUAGAUUUCAAAAUGAGUCUUGAAUAUGAAAUCAGUUUAGAAUAUAAUCUCUGUGGGCCUUCUGUUUAUUUUAUUCACUACUAUACCCCAGGUACCUAGAAGAGUAACUGGCACAUGGCAGAUGCUCACUAAAUAUUUGUUGAACGAAUGACUGGUUGUUGCUAGUCAGUAACUGAGUAUGUGAUCAACUGUAGACAAACAAAAGUAAUUCCUGACUCUCCCAAGGCUGAGGCUGUUUUUAAAAGAUUAUGGUAAAAAUACAACAAAACAUAAAAGUUAUCAUCUUAACAAUUUUUUAACCUUGGCAUGGAAAAUUGAUCGAAGUUGGCCAUUUUUAAGUAUACAACUCUGUAGUGUUACUUAUGUUCACGUUGUUGUGCUACCAUCACCAACAUCCACCCACAGAACUCUUCAUUUUGUAAAACUGAUACUCUGUACCCAUUAAACACAAUCCUCAUUUCCCACUCAGUCCAGCUCCUGGCAACUACCAUGCCACUUUCUGUCUCUGUGAAUUUGACUGCCCUAGGUCCCUCAUAUAAGAGGAAUCACAUAGUAUUUUUUUUGUAUCUGCCUUAUUUCACUUAGCAUAAUGUCCUCAAGGUUCAUCCAUAUUGUUGCAUGUUUCAGAAUUUCCUUCCGUUUAAAGGCUGAAUGAUAAUCCAUUGGCUGUAGAUACCACAUUUUAUUUAUCCAUUUAUCUGUCAAUGGACACUUCUUCGGUUGUUUCCCCCUUUUGCUAUUGUGGAUAAUGCCACUACGAACGUGAUCGUACAAAUAUCUGUUCCAGUCCCUGUUUUCACUGAAAUAAAUGGAACUACUGUAUCAUA